Molecule: ribosomal RNA, 484 nt
Filed under: uncultured bacterium
Lineage: Bacteria
Description: partial 16S ribosomal RNA
Rfam family: Bacterial small subunit ribosomal RNA
Source: RNAcentral
AUUGAACGCUGGCGGCAGGCCUAACACAUGCAAGUCGAGCGGAUGAAGGGAGCUUGCUCCUGGAUUCAGCGGCGGACGGGUGAGUAAUGCCUAGGAAUCUGCCUGGUAGUGGGGGAUAACGUCCGGAAACGGGCGCUAAUACCGCAUACGUCCUGAGGGAGAAAGUGGGGGAUCUUCGGACCUCACGCUAUCAGAUGAGCCUAGGUCGGAUUAGCUAGUUGGUGGGGUAAAGGCCUACCAAGGCGAUGAUCCGUAACUGGUCUGAGAGGAUGAUCAGUCACACUGCAACUGAGACACGGUCCAGACUCCCACGGGAGGCAGCAGUGGGGAAUAUUGGACAAUGGGCGAAAGCCUGAUCCAGCCAUGCCGCGUGUGUGAAGAAGGUCUUCGGAUUGUAAAGCACUUUAAGUUGGGAGGAAGGGCAGUAAGUUAAUACCUUGCUGUUUUGACGUUACCAACAGAAUAAGCACCGGCUAACUUCGUG